GUCCUCGUAGUUUAAUGGAUAAAACAAAAAUCUCCUAAGUUUUAAAUGCAGGUUCGAUUCCUGCCGAGGACACCA
Molecule: transfer RNA, 75 nt
Filed under: Patescibacteria group bacterium
Lineage: Bacteria
Also listed under: 1 other name
Description: tRNA-Arg
Rfam family: tRNA
About the family: Transfer RNA (tRNA) molecules are approximately 80 nucleotides in length. Their secondary structure includes four short double-helical elements and three loops (D, anti-codon, and T loops).
Source: RNAcentral